Formica exsecta is the source of this 164-nucleotide long non-coding RNA. RefSeq lists it as uncharacterized. The record is from RefSeq and is a predicted model, not a curated record. The transcript is spliced from 2 exons. NCBI's taxonomy places the organism in Eukaryota, Metazoa, Arthropoda, Insecta, Hymenoptera, Formicidae.
GUAUAUAAUUUAUCUGUACGGCUACUUAUUAUCGAAUUAUUUCAGAUAUAACUUCACCUAACACAGAAAAAGUUGCAAUACAGGAAAAAGAAGGGGGAAAUAAAAAACGGAAACGUUCUACAUCACCUUAUGGAAAUACAAAAAGAUUGCGUUGGACUGAACAU